UUGAAGAGUUUGAUCAUGGCUCAGAUUGAACGCUGGCGGCAGGCCUAACACAUGCAAGUCGAGCGGUAGCACAGAGAGCUUGCUCUCGGGUGACGAGCGGCGGACGGGUGAGUAAUGUCUGGGAAACUGCCUGAUGGAGGGGGAUAACUACUGGAAACGGUAGCUAAUACCGCAUAAUGUCGCAAGACCAAAGUGGGGGACCUUCGGGCCUCAUGCCAUCAGAUGUGCCCAGAUGGGAUUAGCUAGUAGGUGGGGUAACGGCUCACCUAGGCGACGAUCCCUAGCUGGUCUGAGAGGAUGACCAGCCACACUGGAACUGAGACACGGUCCAGACUCCUACGGGAGGCAGCAGUGGGGAAUAUUGCACAAUGGGCGCAAGCCUGAUGCAGCCAUGCCGCGUGUAUGAAGAAGGCCUUCGGGUUGUAAAGUACUUUCAGCGGGGAGGAAGGCGAUAAGGUUAAUAACCUUGUCGAUUGACGUUACCCGCAGAAGAAGCACCGGCUAACUCCGUGCCAGCAGCCGCGGUAAUACGGAGGGUGCAAGCGUUAAUCGGAAUUACUGGGCGUAAAGCGCACGCAGGCGGUCUGUCAAGUCGGAUGUGAAAUCCCCGGGCUCAACCUGGGAACUGCAUUCGAAACUGGCAGGCUAGAGUCUUGUAGAGGGGGGUAGAAUUCCAGGUGUAGCGGUGAAAUGCGUAGAGAUCUGGAGGAAUACCGGUGGCGAAGGCGGCCCCCUGGACAAAGACUGACGCUCAGGUGCGAAAGCGUGGGGAGCAAACAGGAUUAGAUACCCUGGUAGUCCACGCCGUAAACGAUGUCGAUUUGGAGGUUGUGCCCUUGAGGCGUGGCUUCCGGAGCUAACGCGUUAAAUCGACCGCCUGGGGAGUACGGCCGCAAGGUUAAAACUCAAAUGAAUUGACGGGGGCCCGCACAAGCGGUGGAGCAUGUGGUUUAAUUCGAUGCAACGCGAAGAACCUUACCUGGUCUUGACAUCCACAGAACUUAGCAGAGAUGCUUGGUGCCUUCGGGAACUGUGAGACAGGUGCUGCAUGGCUGUCGUCAGCUCGUGUUGUGAAAUGUUGGGUUAAGUCCCGCAACGAGCGCAACCCUUAUCCUUUGUUGCCAGCGGUUCGGCCGGGAACUCAAAGGAGACUGCCAGUGAUAAACUGGAGGAAGGUGGGGAUGACGUCAAGUCAUCAUGGCCCUUACGACCAGGGCUACACACGUGCUACAAUGGCAUAUACAAAGAGAAGCGACCUCGCGAGAGCAAGCGGACCUCAUAAAGUAUGUCGUAGUCCGGAUUGGAGUCUGCAACUCGACUCCAUGAAGUCGGAAUCGCUAGUAAUCGUAGAUCAGAAUGCUACGGUGAAUACGUUCCCGGGCCUUGUACACACCGCCCGUCACACCAUGGGAGUGGGUUGCAAAAGAAGUAGGUAGCUUAACCUUCGGGAGGGCGCUUACCACUUUGUGAUUCAUGACUGGGGUGAAGUCGUAACAAGGUAACCGUAGGGGAACCUGCGGUUGGAUCACCUCCUU
Molecule: ribosomal RNA, 1535 nt
Filed under: Klebsiella quasipneumoniae
Lineage: Bacteria; Pseudomonadati; Pseudomonadota; Gammaproteobacteria; Enterobacterales; Enterobacteriaceae
Description: 16S ribosomal RNA
Rfam family: Bacterial small subunit ribosomal RNA
Source: RNAcentral